AUGCAUUUUGGUUCCCUUUUGUGUAGUUUUGGUUCAUGUUUAUGGAACUGUCACGUAUGCCGCCAUAGCAGAACUGAUACUGUGUAUUUUAUCUCUCUUUUGAUUUUGGAAUCUUGCUUUGUAGCUUGUAUAAUUCUAUGUAGUGAUGACAUGUCUGUUUUUUUUGGGCAGGAUACAUGUAAGCCUUUUUGGCAAGGCAAAGAUGAUGAUGACUGGGAAGUGAAGCGAAUUACGACCAAUGGUUGUUUUAAGUUUUGGGAGAUUUGA
This is a non-coding RNA of Vicia faba (fava bean), 267 nucleotides long. Lineage: Eukaryota; Viridiplantae; Streptophyta; Magnoliopsida; Fabales; Fabaceae. The record is from the annotation of a GenBank genome assembly.